Prunus mume (Japanese apricot) is the source of this 1213-nucleotide non-coding RNA. The record is from RefSeq and is a predicted model, not a curated record. NCBI's taxonomy places the organism in Eukaryota, Viridiplantae, Streptophyta, Magnoliopsida, Rosales, Rosaceae.
GGAGUUGGACCGAAAUAACGACUUUUAAAAAGUGAGGGAUCACCCGAGCGAGUAGCUAAGAGAAAAACAGGUAGGAGGUCAAUUGCAGGAAGUAGAAGUUUUCUUUUCAUAAAUACCGAAAUCUUUCCCAAAUCAACGAAGAAAAUAAAAAGAAAACCUGUGAGAGAGAGAGAGAGAGAGAGAGAGAGAGAGAGAGAGAGAGAGUGGGAGAUCCCGAACUUAAAGAAUGGAGAAGAUGAACCAGGCCUAUGAGAAGGUGAAGAUGCUGGUGGGUAUGGAGGUGGAUGAGGACGACCAUGAAGCUGCUUCUUCUUCUGCUCUACAGGAUACCAACUUCAUCGACGACUUCAAUCGCAACUGCACAUUGUCCACCAAACAGAGGUUUUACGGUUUCGCCAUAUGCUUGACUGCCGGUUUAACUUGUACGCUCCUGUCGAUGCUUGUUUUCUUCCAUCCAAUCAAGUUUGGAAUUACAUUCACACUGGGAAAUCUUCUUUCACUUGGGAGCACAGCAUUCCUCAUUGGCCCUAAACGGCAAGUGACAAUGAUGCUUGACCCUGUCCGUAUUUAUGCAACAGCCAUAUACCUUGCAAGUAUAAUAAUUGCCUUGUUUUGUGCUCUUUACGUUCAUAACAAGUUAUUGACACUUUUGGCGAUACUUUUAGAGUUUGGUGCAUUGAUUUGCCCUUAAACUAAAAUAUGUGGGAAUGUCAGGCUUUCCAUAAAAUCCAUCCAAUUUUCUGUUAAAUUGGACAUGCGAUGCACACAUGACCUUUUUACAGGUUUGGAAUGGCAAACUGGGAUAGAGAGACAAGAGAGAGGAGAGAGAAUGAAAGGGGAAGAAAGGAACGGAAAUGUCCCCAAAAAAAGACAUGUCAAAGGUUAAGAGAAUGUGGCAGAAUUAACGACAAGCUUGCCAUUGCAAAAGAAUCAGAGUUAGGGCGUAUUUAAAACAUAGUUUUUGUUCUUCCAAUGGGCAAAGUGCCAAACGAGACAAACUUCAUGGGGUAUAGGUAUAGCUUGAGCUACAUCCCUUUUGCUAGAGCCAUGUUAUCCAAGAUCAUGGUAGCUUGUUUUGACACUGAUUUUUAGGCUGAUAUUCGCCAAGGAAACAACUUGGGACUCAUCCAUCGGAGUAGAUAUUUCCUAAUAUUAGUUUUUGUUGUGGCCUUGCACACAGAGAGAGUCCAACCUAAAGCACCACACGAUAUCG